AUACGUAGGGAGCGAGCGUUGUCCGGAAUUACUGGGUGUAAAGGGAGCGUAGGCGGGAGUGCAAGUCAGAUGUGAAAUACAUGGGCUCAACCCAUGGGCUGCAUUUGAAACUGCAUUUCUUGAGUGAAGUAGAGGUAAGCGGAAUUCCUGGUGUAGCGGUGAAAUGCGUAGAUAUCAGGAGGAACACCGGUGGCGAAGGCGGCUUACUGGGCUUUUACUGACGCUGAGGCUCGAAAGCGUGGGGAGCAAACAGGAUUAGAUACCCUGGUAGUCCACGCUGUAAACGAUGAUUACUAGGUGUGGGGGGACUGACCCCUUCCGUGCCGCAGUUAACACAAUAAGUAAUCCACCUGGGGAGUACGGCCGCAAGGUUGAAACUUAAAGGAAUUGACGGG
Molecule: ribosomal RNA, 395 nt
Filed under: uncultured bacterium
Lineage: Bacteria
Description: partial 16S ribosomal RNA
Rfam family: Bacterial small subunit ribosomal RNA
Source: RNAcentral